This 253-nucleotide ribosomal RNA is filed under the name uncultured bacterium. RNAcentral describes it as "partial 16S ribosomal RNA". It matches the Rfam family "Bacterial small subunit ribosomal RNA", at positions 524 to 776 of the family's 1533-position model. The record is from RNAcentral.
UACGGAGGGAGCUAGCGUUGUUCGGAAUUACUGGGCGUAAAGCGCACGUAGGCGGCUUUGUAAGUUAGAGGUGAAAGCCCGGGGCUCAACUCCGGAAUUGCCUUUAAGACUGCAUCGCUUGAAUCCAGGAGAGGUGAGUGGAAUUCCGAGUGUAGAGGUGAAAUUCGUAGAUAUUCGGAAGAACACCAGUGGCGAAGGCGGCUCACUGGACUGGUAUUGACGCUGAGGUGCGAAAGCGUGAGGAGCAAACAGG